Long non-coding RNA from Rosa rugosa (rugosa rose), 558 nucleotides. RefSeq lists it as uncharacterized. The transcript has 3 exons. Lineage: Eukaryota; Viridiplantae; Streptophyta; Magnoliopsida; Rosales; Rosaceae. The record is from RefSeq and is a predicted model, not a curated record.
CAAUAAUGACUUAUAAUGAUUUAACUAAGACUUUGAGUAAACUGCAGGUCCUUUUAUGUGAACAACUUAACUGGACCAAUCUCUGCCUUCUUGGGAUACAUCAGCACUCUAAAAUACUUGAACCUUGAGACUAACAUGUUUUCUGGAACUGUUCCUCCUGAGCUUAGGAAGUUGGUUAACUUGCAAAAUCUACUGUUCAUGAAGGACGCAUAUAUCAACUAAAACUGUUCUGUGACAAAAAUUAUCCAGAGAAGCCACCAAGUAUACGAUUUCAUACACGCAUCAACUACUGCACUGUUUUGAAAUGUUCUUUUAUUUUAAUAUAUGCAGGGAUAUGCUGGUGCAGCUAUAGCAUAUGGGUCUCUUCUUCUUCUUCAAGGUCUCUUCUUCCCCACCAUGCUUCUUUUAUGUUAUUGUAGAAUAGUCAUCAAGAUUCCCAACGAAUAACUGCAAUGUGUUAAGUUCUUGCCAGAAAUGGAUCUAUAUGUAGGGUGAUUCUUCAAAUAGAAAUAAUGGUCUGUUGCAGCAAGAACUUAUAUUUCUGUCCCAUGUCAUGAA